CAACGGCGGACAGCCUGAGAAAUCAGGUCUCCCUUCGGGGACUGCCGGUUCAGGUGUUGCAUGGCUGUCGUCAGCUCGUGUCGUGAGAUGUUGGGUUAAGUCCCGNAACGAGCGCAACCCCUGCCCUUAGUUGCCACCGGGUAAUGCCGGGCACUCUAGGGGGACUGCACGGGUCAACCGUGAGGAAGGCGGGGACGACGUCAAGUCAUCAUGGCCCUUAUGUCCAGGGCUACAAGCGUGCUACAAUGGAUUGCACAAAGGGUCGCAAACUCGCGAGAGCCAGCUAAUCCCAAAAAGCAACCCUCAGUUCGGAUCGGAGUCUGCAACUCGACUCCGUGAAGUUGGAAUCGCUAGUAAUCGCGGAUCAGAACGCCGCGGUGAAUACGUUCUCGGGCCUUGUACACACCGCCCGUCACGCCAUGGAAGCCUGCUGUACCGGAAGUCGGUACGCCAACCCGCAAGGGAGGCAGCCGCCUAUGGUAUGGCCGGUGACUGGGGCGGAAGUCGUAACAAGGUAGGCGUAGUGCU
RNAcentral lists this ribosomal RNA (528 nucleotides) under uncultured bacterium. RNAcentral describes it as "bacterial SSU rRNA". It matches the Rfam family "Bacterial small subunit ribosomal RNA", at positions 985 to 1509 of the family's 1533-position model. The record is from RNAcentral.